GAUGAACGCUAGCUACAGGCUUAACACAUGCAAGUCGAGGGGAGACGACAUUGAAGCUUGCUUCGAUGGUCGUCGACCGGCGCACGGGUGAGUAACGCGUAUCCAACCUGCCUCUGACCAAGGGAUAACCCGUCGAAAGUCGGCCUAAUACCUUAUGCAGUCGUCGGAAGUCAUCUGAUGACGACGAAAGAUUUCAUCGGUGAGAGAUGGGGAUGCGUCUGAUUAGCUUGUUGGCGGGGUAACGGCCCACCAAGGCAACGAUCAGUAGGGGUUCUGAGAGGAAGGUCCCCCACAUUGGAACUGAGACACGGUCCAAACUCCUACGGGAGGCAGCAGUGAGGAAUAUUGGUCAAUGGGCGAGAGCCUGAACCAGCCAAGUAGCGUGCAGGAUGACGGCCCUAUGGGUUGUAAACUGCUUUUAUGCGGGGAUAAAGUGAGGGACGUGUCCUUCAUUGCAGGUACCGCAUGAAUAAGGACCGGCUAAUUCCGUG
This 491-nucleotide ribosomal RNA is filed under the name uncultured bacterium. Its description in RNAcentral is "partial 16S ribosomal RNA". It matches the Rfam family "Bacterial small subunit ribosomal RNA", at positions 28 to 507 of the family's 1533-position model. The record is from RNAcentral.